This 265-nucleotide ribosomal RNA is filed under the name uncultured Atopobium sp. RNAcentral describes it as "partial 16S ribosomal RNA". It matches the Rfam family "Bacterial small subunit ribosomal RNA", at positions 91 to 355 of the family's 1533-position model. The record is from RNAcentral. Lineage: Bacteria; Bacillati; Actinomycetota; Coriobacteriia; Coriobacteriales; Atopobiaceae.
UAAAGUGGCGAACGGCUGAGUAACACGUUGGCAACCUGCCCUUUGCACUGGGAUAGCCUCGGGAAACCGAGGUUAAUACCGGAUACUCCAUAUUUGUCGCAUGGCGAAUAUGGGAAAGCUCCGGCGGCAAAGGAUGGGCCCGCGGCCUGUUAGCUAGUUGGUGGGGUAGUGGCCUACCAAGGCAAUGAUGGGUAGCCGGGUUGAGAGACCGACCGGCCAGAUUGGGACUGAGAUACGGCCCAGACUCCUACGGGAGGCAGCAGCU